AACUUAAAGGAAUUGACGGGACCCGCACAAGCAGCGGAGCGUGUGGUUUAAUUCGAUGCUACACGAAGAACCUUACCGGGUUUGACAUGCAAGUGGUAGGAAACUGAAAAGGGACCGACCCUUCGGGGAGCUUGCACAGGUGCUGCAUGGCUGUCGUCAGCUCGUGUCGUGAGAUGUUCGGUUAAGUCCGCUAACGAGCGCAACCCUCACUGUGUGUUACAUGUGUCACACGGGACUGCCGGUUUUAAGCCGGAGGAAGUGGGGAUGACGUCAAGUCAGCAUGGCCUUUAUAUCCUGGGCUACACACACGCUACAAUGGCCGGUACAAUAGGUUGCCAAACCGCAAGGUGGAGCCAAUCCCUAAAGCCGGCCUCAGUUCAGAUUGUAGGCUGCAACUCGCCUGCAUGAAGAUGGAGUUGCUAGUAACCGCAGGUCAGCAAUACUGCGGUGAAUACGUUCCCGGGUCUU
This 468-nucleotide ribosomal RNA is filed under the name uncultured Anaerolineaceae bacterium. Its description in RNAcentral is "bacterial SSU rRNA". It matches the Rfam family "Bacterial small subunit ribosomal RNA", at positions 898 to 1382 of the family's 1533-position model. Lineage: Bacteria; Bacillati; Chloroflexota; Anaerolineae; Anaerolineales; Anaerolineaceae. The record is from RNAcentral.